UGGACCUAGCUUCAAGACGAGAGAGAGGAGCUACUACUGGACCUAGCUUCAAGACAAGGAGAGAGGAGCUAUUAAUGGACCUAGCUUCAAGACGAGAGAGAGGAACAACUACUGGACCUAGCUUCAAGACAAGGAGAGAGGAGCUAUUAAUGGACUUAGCUUCAAGAUGAGAGAGAGGAGCUAUUACUGGACCUAGCUUCAAGACGAGAGAGAGGAGCUACUACUGGACCAAGCUUCAAGACAAGAAGGGAGAGGAGCUACUAUGAAAGCUUGAGUCUACAGAAACUGGAGAGAGAAAGCCCGGAGCUCCCCCAUCUGAUAGCGGAGUCGAAGGAGCACAGCAAGAGGAGCAAGACCAUCAACGAUGGUCGCAUGUCACGAGCCGUGGAAGCCGAAGACAGCAACCUCCGGAAAAGCAGUCUACACUCCCAACAAGAGGCCCGGAUAGGAUACAAACAACAAAUAACGGGUUCGGUGCGCAGAGAGGUUAACAACCCUCCAGGCGAGCUUCAAUGCCCUACAACUCUCUUUCCGUGGCCUCCAAUUGCUCUUGAAUACAAGUAAAGCUAGAUGCAUGCUCUUCAACAGAUCGCUGCCUGCACCUGCCCGCCUGUCCAACAUCACUACUCUGGACGGCUCUGAUUUAGAAUAUGUGGACAACUACAAAUACCUAGGUGUCUGGUUAGACUGUAAACUCUCCUUCCAGACUCACAUCAAACAUCUCAAAUCCAAAGUUAAAUCUAGAAUUGGCGUCCUAUUUUGCAACAAAGCAUCCUUCACUCAUGCUGCCAAACAUACCCUUGUAAAACUGACUAUCCUACCUAUCCUUGACUUCGGCGAUGUCAUUUACAAAAUAGCCUCCAACACUCUACUCAGCAAAUUGAAUGCAAUCUAUCACAUUGCCAUCCGUUUUGUCACCAAAGCCCCAUAUACUAUCCACCACUGCGACCUGUAUGCUCUUGUUGGCUAGCCCUCGCUUCAUAUUCGUCGCCAAACCCACUGGCUCCAGGUCAUCUAUAAGUCCAUGCUAGGUAAAGGCCCACCUUAUCUCAGCUCACUGGUCACCAUAGCAGCACCCACUCGUAGCACACGCUCCAGCAAGUAUAUUUCACUGGUCACCCCCAAAGCCAAUUCCUCUUUGGCCGCCUUUCCUUCCAGUUCUCUGCUGCCAAUUUUAUUUAUUUAUUUCACCUUUAUUUAACCAGGUAGGCAAGUUGAGAACAAGUUCUCAUUUACAAUUGCGACCUGGCCAAGAUAAAGCAAAGCAGUUCGACACAUACAACAACACAGAGUUACACAUGGAGUAAAACAAACAUACAGUCAAUAAUACAGUAUAAACAAGUCUAUAUACGAUGUGAGCAAAUGAGGUGAGAUAAGGGAGGUAAAGGCAAAAAAAGGCCAUGGUGGCAAAGUAAAUACAAUAUAGCAAGUAAAACACUGGAAUGGUAGAUUUGCAAUGGAAGAAUGUGCAAAGUAGAAAUAAAAAAUAAUGGGGUGCAAAGGAGCAAAAUAAAUAAAUAAAUUAAAUACAGUAGGGAAAGAGGUAGUUGUUUGGGCUAAAUUAUAGGUGGGCUAUGUACAGGUGCAGUAAUCUGUGAGCUGCUCUGCUUUGACAGUUGGUGCUUAAAGCUAGUGAGGGAGAUAAGUGUUUCCAGUUUCAGAGAUUUUUGUAGUUCGUUCCAGUCAUUGGCAGCAGAGAACUG
Molecule: long non-coding RNA, 1703 nt
Organism: Oncorhynchus tshawytscha (Chinook salmon)
Lineage: Eukaryota; Metazoa; Chordata; Actinopteri; Salmoniformes; Salmonidae
Source: Ensembl